GCCAACGUCUCAAGCCAACGUCACAUUGACAUCAAAUACUGAUGUUUUGUCGUCAGGUAUGGCAACCUAAAUUCAACAUCUAGUAGACGUCAUUAUGGUAACGUCCAAUCAACGUCAAGUUAUAACAUCAUUUGAUGUUGAUCUGUAGUUAGUUUUAGGUUGUGGCAUUAACUAACCAAAAUCCAACGUCGAGCCAACGUCUCAAGCCAACGUCACAUUGACAUCAAAAACUUAUGUUUUGUCGUCAGGUAUGGCAACCAUAAUCCAACGUUUUCUAGACGUCAUAAUGGCAACAUCCAC
Long non-coding RNA from Cyprinus carpio carpio, 300 nucleotides. The record is from Ensembl. Lineage: Eukaryota; Metazoa; Chordata; Actinopteri; Cypriniformes; Cyprinidae.